RNAcentral lists this microRNA (23 nucleotides) under Mus musculus (house mouse). RNAcentral's name for it is "mmu-miR-7047-5p". The record is from miRBase by way of RNAcentral. Lineage: Eukaryota; Metazoa; Chordata; Mammalia; Rodentia; Muridae.
UGAGGGAGGAGGGCUGGGUCUGA